CCCCUCUUAGGGCUGCACCUGGAGAGUUUCCAGUACUCUACCAGUCUCGACUAUGAGAGGGAGAGUCAAGCAGAGGCCUAGCUAUUCCAUUCGUAGCUUGGGUAGUGGCUACAAGUGGAAGGCAAUCUGUUACAAGU
This 137-nucleotide small nucleolar RNA is filed under the name Ornithorhynchus anatinus (platypus). Lineage: Eukaryota; Metazoa; Chordata; Mammalia; Monotremata; Ornithorhynchidae. The record is from RNAcentral.